GCAGUCGAGCGAACUGAUUAGAAGCUUGCUUCUAUGACGUUAGCGGCGGACGGGUGAGUAACACGUGGGCAACCUGCCUGUAAGACUGGGAUAACUUCGGGAAACCGAAGCUAAUACCGGAUAGGAUCUUCUCCUUCAUGGGAGAUGAUUGAAAGAUGGUUUCGGCUAUCACUUACAGAUGGGCCCGCGGUGCAUUAGCUAGUUGGUGAGGUAACGGCUCACCAAGGCAACGAUGCAUAGCCGACCUGAGAGGGUGAUCGGCCACACUGGGACUGAGACACGGCCCAGACUCCUACGGGAGGCAGCAGUAGGGAAUCUUCCGCAAUGGACGAAAGUCUGACGGAGCAACGCCGCGUGAGUGAUGAAGGCUUUCGGGUCGUAAAACUCUGUUGUUAGGGAAGAACAAGUACGAGAGUAACUGCUCGUACCUUGACGGUACCUAACCAGAAAGCCACGGCUAACUACGUGCCAGCAGCCGCGGUAAUACGUAGGUGGCAAGCGUUAUCCGGAAUUAUUGGGCGUAAAGCGCGCGCAGGCGGUUUCUUAAGUCUGAUGUGAAAGCCCACGGCUCAACCGUGGAGGGUCAUUGGAAACUGGGGAACUUGAGUGCAGAAGAGAAAAGCGGAAUUCCACGUGUAGCGGUGAAAUGCGUAGAGAUGUGGAGGA
This 666-nucleotide ribosomal RNA is filed under the name Priestia aryabhattai. RNAcentral's name for it is "bacterial SSU rRNA". It matches the Rfam family "Bacterial small subunit ribosomal RNA", at positions 57 to 705 of the family's 1533-position model. Lineage: Bacteria; Bacillati; Bacillota; Bacilli; Caryophanales; Bacillaceae. The record is from RNAcentral.